RNAcentral lists this ribosomal RNA (523 nucleotides) under uncultured fungus. RNAcentral describes it as "SSU rRNA". It matches the Rfam family "Eukaryotic small subunit ribosomal RNA", at positions 424 to 952 of the family's 1831-position model. Lineage: Eukaryota; Fungi. The record is from RNAcentral.
AGCAGCAGGCGCGCAAAUUACCCAAUCCCGACACGGGGAGGUAGUGACAAUAAAUAACGAUAUAGGGCUCUUUCGGGUCUUAUAAUUGGAAUGAGUACAAUUUAAAUCCCUUAACGAGGAACAAUUGGAGGGCAAGUCUGGUGCCAGCAGCCGCGGUAAUUCCAGCUCCAAUAGCGUAUAUUAAAGUUGUUGCAGUUAAAAAGCCCGUAGUUGAACUUCAGGCCUGGCCGGGCGGUCCGCCUCACGGUGUGUACUGUUUGGCCGGGUCUUACCUCUUGGUGAGCCGGCAUGCUCUUUACUGGGUGUGUCGGGGAACCAGGACUUUUACCUUGAGAAAAUUAGAGUGUUCAAAGCAGGCCUAUGCCCGAAUACAUUAGCAUGGAAUAAUAAAAUAGGACGUGCGGUUCUAUUUUGUUGGUUUCUAGAGUCGCCGUAAUGAUUAAUAGGGAUAGUUGGGGGCAUUAGUAUUCCGUUGCUAGAGGUGAAAUUCUUGGAUUUACGGAAGACUAACUACUGCGAAAGC